GACGAACGCUGGCGGCGGGCUUAACACAUGCAAGUCGAACGGAAAGGCCGUGCUUGUGUGGGGUGCUCGAGGGGCGAACGGGUGAGUAACACGUGAGUAACCUGCCCUUGACUUUGGGAUAACUUCAGGAAACUGGGGCUAAUACCGGAUAGGAGCUCCUGCUGCAGGGUGGGGGUUGGAAAGUUUCGGCGGUUGGGGAUGGACUCGCGGCUUAUCAGCUUGUUGGUGGGGUAGGGGCUUACCAAGGCUUUGACGGGUAGCCGGCAUGAGAGGGUGACCGGCCACCUUGGGCCUGCGAUACGGCCCAGACUCCAACGGGAGGCAGCAGUGGGGAAUCUUGCCCAAUGGGAGGAAGCCUGAUGAAGCAACGUCGCGUGCGGGAUGCCCGCCUUCGGGUUGUAAACCGCAUUCGCCUGUGACGAAGCGUGAGUGACGGUAAUGGGUAAAGAAGCACCGGCUAACUACGUG
Molecule: ribosomal RNA, 468 nt
Filed under: uncultured bacterium
Lineage: Bacteria
Description: partial 16S ribosomal RNA
Rfam family: Bacterial small subunit ribosomal RNA
Source: RNAcentral